RNAcentral lists this ribosomal RNA (465 nucleotides) under uncultured bacterium. RNAcentral describes it as "partial 16S ribosomal RNA". It matches the Rfam family "Bacterial small subunit ribosomal RNA", at positions 28 to 507 of the family's 1533-position model. The record is from RNAcentral.
GACGAACGCUGGCGGCGUGCUUAACACAUGCAAGUCGAACGGAAAGGCCCCUUUGGGGGUCCUCGAGUGGCGGACGGGUGAGUAACACGUGGGUAACCUGCCCUUGACUUCGGGAUAACUUCAGGAAACUGGGGCUAAUACCGGAUAGGAAUCCUUGCUGCAUGGUGGGGGUUGGAAAGCUUCUGCGGUUUUGGAUGGACUCGCGGCUUAUCAGCUUGUUGGUGGGGUAGUGGCUUACCAAGGCUUUGACGGGUAGCCGGCCUGAGAGGGCGACCGGCCACAUUGGGACUGGGACACGGCCCAGACUCCUACGGGAGGCAGAAGUGGGGAAGAUUGCACAAUGGGCGGAAGCCGGAUGCAGAAACGCCGCGGGCGGGAUGACGGCCUUCGGGUUGUAAACCGAUUUCAGCAGGAGCGAAGCUUGUGGUGACGGUACCUGCAGAAGAAGCACCGGCUAACUACGUG